UGUACUUAUUCGAUCUAAUAGAAUGAUUUUGCCAUAUCCAGACUAAUACUAAUCUAAGCCAUUUCAUGAAUAAAAUGUGCCCAAUUAACCAACCAACAAAGCUACUUGUUACAAAUAACAUCAUGUUGUUGUAUUGAAACAUAUAAAUGACAUCAUUAUGAACACAAAGUCCCAAGGUAUGGAAUCCAAGAAAGAGGCCGGCCCAACUUAAAUGAGAUAUGAUAGCUUCUUUAUGGUCUAACAUUCUUGCCAAUACAUUAUCUUCAUUUUGCUUCGGGUUGUAAUCUCUAAUGAAAAAUAUAGCUCCUUGAGCAAAAGCUCCUGUCAUGAUGAAUCCUGCGAUAUAUUAGUGAUGAGUAUAUAAUGCAGCUUGAGUAGUAAAGUCUUGUGAUAUGAAUGCAUAAGCAGGUAAAGAGUACAUGUGUUGAGCUACUAAGGAAGUAAUAACCCCUAAAGAAGCUAGAGCAAGGCCUAAUUGAAAAUGAAGCGAAUUAUUGAGUGUGUCAUAAAGAUCCUUAUGCCUUCGUCCCAAUCAUCCCCCCAGAGGAAUAUGUGCAUCUAAAAGAUAUUUGAUACUAUGUCCAAUCCCGAAAUUCGUUCGAUACAUAUGACCAGCAACAAGAAAAAUAAAUGCAAUAGCUAGAUGAUGAUGAGCAAUAUCGGUCAGCCAUAAACUUUGUGUUUGUGGAUGGAAUCCCCUGAGAAGAGUUAGAAUGGCAGUUCCUGCUCCUUUGGAGGUCGAGAAAAAAAUGAUUUGAUUCGAAGUUUUGUCUAUGUAUGGAAUUCUAAUAAAUGACAAAUGAGCCUAUAAAAUCAAUUAGACUAUGAUUUAAGUCUUUUUUUCUUCUUCCUUCCUGAAAAUGAAAAAGAAACCAUUUGUACUCAUAACUUAAGUUGAUACAAAUCCAAAUUUAUCUGUAACUUCAAUAAAAUUGGAAUAGUUCCGUAUACUACUACAUUAGUAUGAAAUCGAAUCGGGUUCAAAUAUUUCAUAUUGAUUCAGGAACAGAAGGCCCAUAAUCUUUUUUUAAUCAAUCUAUUUUUAUGUUAUUUCAUACUGUACAAUUCUUUUCUUUGUGGGAUCAUUUUCCUACGAGAGGUAAUGAGAAGAAUUAUAGAAUGGAUUGCUACCUAUGCCUAGAUCGCGGAUAAAUGGAAAUUUUAUUGAUAAGACCUUUUCAAUUGUAGCCAAUAUGCCUACUUGAAUCGGAUAUUUGAAAUACCAACUAAUAUUUGGAAUACUAACUAAUCACAUAAUAUCCCCAGUUAUUUUUCUAUCUUUUUUGAAAUUUAGAAAUAAUAACCGUUUCCAUAAAUCUAUUGGAUUUUCGAAGUAAGUUAUUUAUCUUAUUAUUAAUCAAGGAUUUCUUAUAUAGCAAUUGUACCUAUUAAAGGGACUAAUAGAAUUAUUGAAAUGAGUUCAAAUGGAAGAAAAAAAUCUAUUUAUAAAUGAAUUCCAAUUUGUUGGCUAUUACUUAUCAAAUCUUGCUCUAUAAUCUAGUUUGAUUUUGUAGAAAU
This 1518-nucleotide long non-coding RNA is filed under the name Olea europaea subsp. europaea. The record is from RNAcentral. Lineage: Eukaryota; Viridiplantae; Streptophyta; Magnoliopsida; Lamiales; Oleaceae.